CUCCACCAUCAUACCACUACUCGUCGCCUCCUCCUCCAGUGAAAUCUCCCCCACUUCUAUACCAUUACUCUUCCCCUCCGCCUCCCAAGAAGUCCCCCCCACCACCAUACCACUACUCCUCACCUCCUCCUCCGGUAAAGUCUCCACCGCCUCCAUACCACUACUCGUCACCUCCAUCACCCAAGAAGUCCCCCCCACCACCAUACCACUACUCAUCGCCUCCUCCUCCGGUUAAGUCUCCCCCACCACCGUACCACUACUCAUCACCACCUCCUCCCAAGAGGUCUCCUCCGCCACCGUAUCACUACUCGUCACCACCUCCUCUCAAAAAGUCUCAUCCGCCACCAUACCAUUACACAUCACCUCCACCACCUAAGAAGUCACCACCUCCUCCAUACUACUAUACAUCACCCCCACCUCCAUCACACUAUUAAGCUCACAAAGAAUGACAUCUUUCAAACAAAGAGAGGCUUUCAACCGCUAUGUACUUCCGAAAUUUUGUGAGAAUACUAUGUGUUUGUGUGUAAUAAAGGGUCUAUAAACUUGGAUAUUCGAUGUCAUCAUUUUUUUCAAUUAUAAAGCAAUGUAAGAAAGGUGAAAUGGGAAGAGUAUACCUAUCAAAUAAAUUCAACCAUUAUCAUAAAUCCUUUUAAAAAUAAAAAUAGUGUAUCAUUGUAAGAAAUUAUAUUAGACGCGCAUCUCAUUAAAAUUGUGGAGCCCAAUUUAGAAAAGCGAUUUAUAAUUCAGGAUAUUUAGUUUCAAGAUGU
This 767-nucleotide long non-coding RNA is filed under the name Linum usitatissimum (flax). RNAcentral describes it as "long non-coding RNA (LUSI_LNC003039)". The record is from RNAcentral. Lineage: Eukaryota; Viridiplantae; Streptophyta; Magnoliopsida; Malpighiales; Linaceae.